Molecule: transfer RNA, 73 nt
Filed under: Cordylochernes scorpioides
Lineage: Eukaryota; Metazoa; Arthropoda; Arachnida; Pseudoscorpiones; Chernetidae
Description: tRNA-Thr
Rfam family: tRNA
About the family: Transfer RNA (tRNA) molecules are approximately 80 nucleotides in length. Their secondary structure includes four short double-helical elements and three loops (D, anti-codon, and T loops).
Source: RNAcentral
UCCAGGGUAGCCGAGUGGUCAAGGCACCUGCCCGGUAAGCAGAAGGGUGUGGGUUCGAUUCCCGUCCCUGGAC